Molecule: ribosomal RNA, 519 nt
Filed under: uncultured eukaryote
Lineage: Eukaryota
Description: bacterial SSU rRNA
Rfam family: Eukaryotic small subunit ribosomal RNA
Source: RNAcentral
AGGGCACCACCAGGAGUGGAGCCUGCCGCUUAAUUUGACUCAACACGGGAAAACUCACCCGGCCCCGACACCGGAAGGAUUGACAGACUGGGAGCUCUUUCUUAAUUCGGGGGGGGGUGGUGCGUGGCCGUUCUUAGUUGGGGGGGGCAUUUGGCUGGUUAAUUCCAAUAACGAACAAAAAUUUGGCCUAUUAAAUAGACGGGGUAUCGAAAAGUAUAUCGCGCUUCUUAAAGGGACAGGCGGCGUCCAGCCGCAUGACACACAGCAAUAACAGGUCUGUGAUGCCCUUGGAUCUCCGGGGCUGCUCGCGCGCUACGCUGAAAGAAUAAGAGUGCGCCGUGACCUACUUCGGAAGAACCGGGUAACCCACGUAAAUUCUCUCCUUCUUGGGAUAGGUAAUAGAUAAGUAUUUCCUCUAAACGAGGAAUUCAUAGCAAAUACGCGCCAUACGCUCGCGUUGAUUACUUCCCUGCCCUUUGUACACACUCGACCGUCCCUCCUACCGAUCGAAUGACUUAG